CUCGUAGACUCCUACGGGAGGCAGCAGUGAGGAAUAUUGGUCAAUGGACGCAAGUCUGAACCAGCCAUGUCGCGUGCAGGAAGACUGCCCUAUGGGUUGUAAACUGCUUUUAUACGGGAAGAAUGUGACCCUCGUGAGGGUUUUUGCCGGUACCGUAUGAAUAAGCAUCGGCUAACUCCGUGCCAGCAGCCGCGGUAAUACGGAGGAUGCAAGCGUUAUCCGGAUUCAUUGGGUUUAAAGGGGUGCGUAGGCGGAAUGGUAAGUCAGGGGUGAAAGUUUGCGGCUCAACCGUAAAAUUGCCUUUGAUACUGUCAUUCUUGAGUACAUUUGAGGUAGGCGGAAUGUGGCGUGUAGCGGUGAAAUGCUUAGAUAUGCCACAGAACACCGAUUGCGAAGGCAGCUUACUAAACUGUAACUGACGCUGAUGCACGAAAGCGUGGGGAUCGAACAGGAUUAGAUACCCUGGUAG
Molecule: ribosomal RNA, 469 nt
Filed under: uncultured bacterium
Lineage: Bacteria
Description: bacterial SSU rRNA
Rfam family: Bacterial small subunit ribosomal RNA
Source: RNAcentral